This 761-nucleotide ribosomal RNA is filed under the name Bradyrhizobium elkanii. RNAcentral's name for it is "partial 16S ribosomal RNA". The stretch from base 1 to 430 matches the Rfam family "Bacterial small subunit ribosomal RNA", at positions 85 to 546 of the family's 1533-position model. Lineage: Bacteria; Pseudomonadati; Pseudomonadota; Alphaproteobacteria; Hyphomicrobiales; Nitrobacteraceae. The record is from RNAcentral.
GAAGCGUUCUUCGGCAGAACGAAGUCCAAUGGGGGGACAACGCACCGUUUUGCUUCGCCCCAACACAGGAUACACCUGUGCUAUCGCCAGCUAGACUCCCUACCGAUACCGACUUCUCGGCGACGAGUUGCACCGCCUCAGCCGAACUAAUAGGGAGUUUAAUGAUUUACCAAGGUCACGCUCAGUAGCUGCCCUUAGAGCAUGAUCUGUCACAUUGGGGGUGACACUCGGCCCAAGCUCCUACGGGAGUGAGCACCGGGCCAUCUUCCUCACUGGGGGUCACCGGGAGUCUCCCUUGCCUUGUGAGCCAUGACGGCCCUAGGAUUGUAAAGGUCUUUUGUCCGGGCAGAGCAUGACGCUACCUCUCGAAAAAGCCGCGGGUAACUUCGUGCCAACACCCGUGGUACUAGGUCCGGGGAGAACGUUGCUCCUAUUCAAUGGGUGCAAAAGGUGCCAAGGCCGGUUAUGAAGCUCCGGGUGACAUCCAAUUAACCCACUCCAGACCUGGCUUGGACACUCCCCCGCCUGAUCCUUGAAGAUGUGAGUCUCACUCCCGACUGCCCCGGUGAAAAUCCUUAAAUUUUUCCACUGACGCCACCUGGGUAAAAGCCGCCCCCCUGGGCCCGGAAAUUGACCGCUUAUCCGCGGGAACCAUUCCGGAGGAUACAAAGCCUUGGUUUUCUCCCCCCAAGCCUUUCCCCCCCUAAAAAAAUAUAAUUGCCUGGCCCCAUUAGAAGGCCGGUUUUCUCCCCCCACGGGGG